This is a long non-coding RNA of Pan troglodytes (chimpanzee), 2854 nucleotides long. RefSeq lists it as uncharacterized. The transcript is spliced from 3 exons. Lineage: Eukaryota; Metazoa; Chordata; Mammalia; Primates; Hominidae. The record is from RefSeq and is a predicted model, not a curated record.
AAACCAGGCCUGGGCCUGCCUGGCCCAAGCCUAGUAGUUAAAAUUCAACCCCUGACCUAGCCACUGAUGUUAUCUAUAGAUUCCAGACAUUGUAUGGAAGGACAUUGUGAAACUUCCUGCUCUGUUCUGCUUCACUUUGACUACUGGUGCAUGCAGCUCCUGUCAGUACCCCCUAGCUUGCUCAAUCAGUCAGGACCCUCUCGUGUGAAACCUUUAGCAUUGUGAGCUCUUAAAAGGGACAGAAAUUGUGCACUCAGGGAGCUCGGAUUUUAAGACGCUAGUCUGCCAACGCUUCCAGCUGAAUAAAGCCCCUUCCUUCUACAACUUGGUGUCUGAGGGGUUUUGUCUGUGGCUUGUCCUGCUACAUUUCUUGGUUCCCUGACUGGGAAAUGAGGUGAUUAACUGACAGACGGUCGAGGCAGCCCCUUAGGUGGCUUACCCUUCCCUGUGGAGCAUCCCUGCGGGGGACUCUGGCCAGCUUGAGCGAUGCGGAUCCUGAAAGGGCUCCUGGGUAGGCCUUUUCCCCGGUGGAACACAUCAUCAGAGCGGUGCAUGGCAGGUCCCCACAGAGGAUCAACGUAGUGGCUGAACACCAGGAAGGAGCUGGCACUUGGAGUUCGGACAUCUGAAACUCGUAGACAAGAAAUGCACCAUAUCCCCCUGCCUGGAUGGGUGUUUUUGGAGAAGAACAAGCAUAUAGACUAAAAUCCUCUGUUUGGAAACCAGCCCAAUUCAAGGAGGGUUCUGAUGCACUGCGGUGAAUUUUUGGCAAUGAGCGGGUCAGCAGCUUAAUAGAGUCUGAUGACUUCUGGUGCCAUACACAAAAAAGAUCCAGACAACUGUUCAAACUGAUGGGACCCACUCCAUCAAGAUUUCACUGUGGCUAGACCAAAAUCACCUAUUUCCACUGUGAGGUCUUCAUGAAGAACUAUAUUAUUACUCUUGAGGUCUCUGUGGAUGAUUGACUUGGCGUGUCAGUAAUCCAUGCCCUGUGCAGUCUGUUGUGCAAUAUCUAUAAGUUUGAUCAUCUCAGAUUUGGUCUCAAUUAUAUGGAGAUGGUAAUACAAGCUGGAGCCCUAACACCACUGGGUGACAAUAGCCAGUUGUGGCUUUGUGGAAUAGCCCAUGAAGAGUAGGAUAUUCAUGUGUUAUGUUUUCCUGAGUACUCCUCCUUCAUUUUGAAGGCUUCUAACUGCUGAGGUGUAGGUGCUGCCACAUUCAACAUUUUCACUGCCACAACACCAUGCCACUUUCCCUUGUAGACUGUUCCAAAUGAUCCAGAUCCAAUUCUUUGUCCCACUGUAAUCUGCCCAUCAGGAAUCUCCCAAUCAUCAUUCAAGUCCUGUCUACCAAGUGUUUUCAUUUGAUUCCUGUCUUCUGAGGAUGAAGAUGACUUCCUUUCUCGCUGAAGUCCUGGAGAUUUCUGUAAGACUUUCACGUUAGUGAGUGACCCAGGCAGGGGGUGUGGCAGACAAACCUGUGGUUGAGCCUCCAACACCACGAAAUCCUUGGUCUCUGAUCAAGUCAUCAAUAUCGUCAGGUUCUAUUGUGCUUAUACACACAUUGGGAGCUGAUGAGGACCGGUCUCGCCCAAAUUGAUUUCAGUGAUCUUCAUCUGCUGGUCGGAAGGGCUGUGGAAUUGGAGUGGAUUUUGAAGGAGACAGAUUGGUGAGAAUUUGGGGACCAGUAGAGUCUGAGGGGGGUGCCGAAGGAGAUGAUCCAGAUGUAAGGGCAGUCUCUGCUAAGGAGGCCUCUUCCUGGGGUAUUGAGUGGCGUUCAAAGAACUUGGAGAAAAACAACAAAUCAAGAUGGUCAUAAUUAACAAACAUCAGUGGAACAACUGUACUACAACACUGGUGAAAUUUAUAACCACAUGUUUGACAGCGGAAACCCUGGAAAAGCAGCUUUUGACAAAAGUCACAAAAUGCUAAGGUGAAAAAUGUUUUUCGUACAAAGUUGUGUGUUGUAAGUGGAACAUUCUCCAACACUUCCACAUGCAAUUCUUCUCCAGUAAGCCAGGAAACACCAGUGUCCUGGUCAAUUGUUUUCUUCUCUCCAUCCUGAAUUCUGUAAACAGCACCGCACUCUGGGAUUAGACCUCUCAUCAUCAGUGCUUUCAUUAGACUGUCUCCGACUGUAACUCCACACCUUGCAGGUACCACUGUCCUCUGCUUGUUGGGCAGGAAGACUCUAACAAUAGGUUUUUGUGGUGACUUGGGGUUGCUCCAUGUCACAUCUAUGGGAUUUUGAAAAACUGAAAGAGAUAAAGGUUUUUUGAAAAACUGAAAGAGAAAAACUGAAAGGCUAAAAGAGGAAGAAGACUUAACGGUGUCCAUUGAUGCAGAGCUAGAAACAGAAAAAUCAGUUCCGUUCCCCAGACAUUCCAAUAACUGUUGUUGUCUUUGUUGGAGUGUAUCUAGCUUGCUGGUGUAUUCCUCAUAGGCCUCCAGAUAUAUUGAUGGUGGAAUAUACUCCCCAAAAAAUUUGUAUAAUAGGGCCUCUAUAUGUUCCUGUGUCAACUUAAUUGAUUAUUUGUUUGAUAUUCCAUACUUUGUGGUAUUUUUCCUACUGGUUCUUUCUUUUCUUAACUUCUUUGGGAUUAAUUUUUAUUAAUCAUUUGUUCUCUUCUGUUGGUUUAAAAGUUAAAAGUCUGGUUUCUACAUUUUUAGAAGAUAACCUCCACGGGAAUGGCAGGAUCCACAGCCGAAGAGGCCGCAGCGCCAGCGCCGGCCUCAGGCUCCACGUCCCCAUUGAAUAGAGCCUCACCGGGCUCCGCACUGCCACCACCGCCACUGCUCAGUGCCGCCAUCUUAUCAUAUGUUUUCAUUUAUCUGGGAUAAAUGCCCCCAAAUUC